GCCAAACAGCUAGCUUAAGUAUUAUACUAACAAAACAACAUUAAUAACACAUAUAAACCUAAAAGUAAAAACUAAACCAUUUUUAAGUCCGAGUAUGGGAGACAGAAAAGAUUCACCUAAGCAAUAGAGAAAGUACCGCAAGGGAAAGCUGAAAGAGAAAUGAAAAAAUCCAUAUAAGCGAUAAGAAGCAGAGACUAAUUCUCGUACCUUUUGCAUCAUGAUUUAGCUAGAAAUAUUCAAGCAAAGAGACCUAUAGUUUGAAACCCCGAAACCAGGUGAGCUACCCCGAGACAGCCUAUUUAGGGCCAACCCGUCUCUGUGGCAAAAGAGUGGGAAGAGCUCCGGGUAGAAGUGACAGACCUAACGAACCUGGUGAUAGCUGGUUGCCUAAGAAAUGGAUAGAAGUUCAGCCUUGCACCCCUUGAAUCCAGCAAUAUAAAACUAAGAUAUGAGAGAUAUGCAAGAGUUAGUUGAAGGAGGUACAGCUCCUUUAACAAAGGAUACAACCUUAACAGGAGAAUAAAGAUCAUAAUAUUUAAAACACACUGUUUUAGUGGGCCUGAAAGCAGCCACCUAACUAGAAAGCGUUAAAGCUCAGACAGAAAAAAGUUUAUUAUUCUGAUAAAAAAUCUUAUUUCCCUAAUUAUAUUAGGCUAUUCCAUGCACCCAUGGAAGAAAUUAUGCUAGAAUGAGUAACAAGAAGACCCCGCCCUUCUCCCGAGCACAAGUGUAUACCGGACUGGACACACCACCGGUUAUUAAUGAACUCAACCCCAGAGAGCAAUGUGAACAGUAAAAUAAUCAAGAAAAACACACAAAAUACAAAUCAUUAACCCCACACUGGAGUGCUAUAUUAAAGGAAAGACUCAAAGAAAAGGAAGGAACUCGGCAAACACAAGCCUCGCCUGUUUACCAAAAACAUCGCCUCCUGCAACUAAGCCAUGUAUAGGAGGUCCAGCCUGCCCAGUGACUACGGGUUCAACGGCCGCGGUAUUUUGACCGUGCAAAGGUAGCGCAAUCACUUGUCUCUUAAAUAGAGACCUGUAUGAAUGGCUAGACGAGGGCUUAACUGUCUCCCUUUUCAGGUCAGUGAAAUUGAUCUGCCCGUGCAGAAGCGGACAUAAAAAUGCAAGACGAGAAGACCCUUUGGAGCUUUAGGUACAACAACCGACCACGUUAAACAAUUUAAUACAAAACAUAAACUAAGUGGACUAACGGGGACUUACCUUCGGUUGGGGCGACCACGGAGGAAAAUAAAGCCUCCAGGUGGACUGGGCAUUAGCCUAAAGCCAAGGGGGACACCCCUAAGCAGCAGAACAUCUGACCAAAAUGAUCCGGCCCCACGGCCGAUCAACGAACCAAGUUACCCUAGGGAUAACAGCGCAAUCCUCUCCCAGAGUCCAUAUCGACGAGAGGGUUUACGACCUCGAUGUUGGAUCAGGACAUCCUAAUGGUGCAGCCGCUAUUAAGGGUUCGUUUGUUCAACGAUUAAAGUCCUACGUGAUCUGAGUUCAGACCGGAGCAAUCCAGGUCAGUUUCUAUCUGCAACGCUACUUUUCCUAGUACGAAAGGAUCGGAAAAGAGGGGCCUAUACUUGAAGCACGCCCCACCCCUAAUUUAUGAAACCAAAUAAAUAAAGUAAAGGGAGAGCCUAAGCGAAAUACUUCAAGAUAAGAAGUU
This 1680-nucleotide ribosomal RNA is filed under the name Psilorhynchus pseudecheneis. Its description in RNAcentral is "16S rRNA". It matches the Rfam family "Bacterial large subunit ribosomal RNA". Lineage: Eukaryota; Metazoa; Chordata; Actinopteri; Cypriniformes; Psilorhynchidae. The record is from RNAcentral.